UUCACGGAGAGUUUGAUCCUGGCUCAGGACGAACGCUGGCGGCGUGCUUAACACAUGCAAGUCGAACGGUGAAGCCCUUCGGGGUGGAU
RNAcentral lists this non-coding RNA (89 nucleotides) under Kitasatospora cineracea. RNAcentral's name for it is "partial 16S ribosomal RNA". It matches the Rfam family "Bacterial small subunit ribosomal RNA", at positions 1 to 91 of the family's 1533-position model. The record is from RNAcentral. Lineage: Bacteria; Bacillati; Actinomycetota; Actinomycetes; Kitasatosporales; Streptomycetaceae. RNAcentral also lists the same sequence under 1 other name.